This 1940-nucleotide ribosomal RNA is filed under the name human gut metagenome. RNAcentral describes it as "bacterial LSU rRNA". It matches the Rfam family "Bacterial large subunit ribosomal RNA", at positions 3 to 1973 of the family's 2925-position model. The record is from RNAcentral.
UCAAGCUAAUAAGAGCAUAAGGUGAAUGCCUUGGCAUCAAGAACCGAUGAAGGACGUAAAAAGCUGCGAUAAGCUUCGGGGAGGCGCACAUAGCCAACGAUCCGGAGAUUUCCGAAUGGGGAAACCUAGCUGAGAAAAGCUCAGUUGGCGUACAGUGAAUCAAUAGCUGUGCGUAGGGAACGCUCUGAACUGAAACAUCUAAGUAGGAGCAGGAAGAGAAAGAAACAUCGAUUUCCUAAGUAGUGGCGAACGAACGGGAAACAGGCCAAACCGAGAUACAUGUAUUUCGGGGUUGUGGACUACAUCAUGUGAUGGAGGUAAGGUAGUAGAAUUGUUUUGGGAAAGCAAGCCAAAGAAAGUGAAAGCCUUGUAUACGAAACCUGAAGACCCACAGUAGUAUCCAGAGUACAUCGGGACACGUGAAACCCUGAUGGAAGCCGGAGGGACCACCCUCCAAGCCUAAAUAUUCCUUGAUGACCGAUAGCGAAGAAGUACUGUGAAGGAAAGGUGAAAAGAACCCCGGGAGGGGAGUGAAAGAGAACCUGAAACCUUAUGUUUACAAACAGUCGAAGUUUUUCGGAACGACGGCGUACUUUUUGUAGAACGGUCCGGCGAGUUGCAGUGACAUGCGAGGUUAAGGAGUACAGCUCCGGAGCCGAAGGGAAACCAAGUCUUAACUGGGCGUCUAGUAUGUUAAUGCAGACCCGAAACCGGGUGACCUAUCCAUGGGCAGGUUGAAGUUACCGUAAAAGGUAAUGGAGGACCGAACUCACAUCUGUUGAAAAAGGUGGAGAUGACCUGUGGAUAGCGGAGAAAUUCCAAUCGAACUCGGAGAUAGCUGGUUCUCCUCGAAAUAGCUUUAGGGCUAGCCUUGAGGUAAAGUCUAAUGGAGGUAAAGCACUGAUUGGACGCGGGUCCCCAAAAGGAUACCAACUUCUAUCAAACUCAGAAUGCCAUAUAGAUAUACUCAGGAGUCAGACUAUGUGAGAUAAGUUUCAUAGUCAAAAGGGAAAGAGCCCAGACCGACAGCUAAGGUCCCAAAGUGUGUGUUAAGUGGAAAAGGAUGUUAGGUUUCUAAGACAACUAGGAUGUUGGCUCAGAAGCAGCCACUCAUUUAAAGAGUGCGUAACAGCUCACUAGUCGAGAGGUCUAGCGCCGAAAAUGUCCGGGGCUAAAACACACCACCGAAGCUACGGAAUUACCUAUGGUAAUUGGUAGAGGAGCAUUCUGUAAGGACGAAGCACAAUUGAAAGAGAGUGUGGACGAAACAGAAGAGAGAAUGCCGGAAUGAGUAGCGAGAUAUAUGUGAGAAUCAUAUAGGUCGAAUGUCUAAGGUUUCCUGGGUAAAGCUGAUCUGCUCAGGGUAAGUCGGGACCUAAGGUGAGGGCGAGAGCCGUAAUCGAUGGACAACAGGUAGAAAUUCCUGUACUACGUAUAAUCAGAACUGUGGGGACGCAGGAGGAUAGGAAAACCGGAGAAUGGAAAAAUCCGGCUAAGUACAAAGGUGUGAGUGAUAGGCAAAUCCGUCACUAUAAGCUGAAGUACGAAUGGGAGCGAAGAAAAGUAGCGAAGUUUCUGAAUCCACACUGUCAAGAAAAGCCGCUAUUGCGUUAUACGUACCCGUACCGCAAACCGACACAGGUAGACGAGGAGAAAAUCCACAGACCGACGGGAGAAGUGUUGUUAAGGAACUCGGCAAAAUGACCCCGUAACUUAGGGAUAAGGGGAGCCAACGCAAGUUGGUCACAGAAAAGAGGCUCAAGCGACUGUUUAGCAAAAACAUAGGUCUAUGCGAAACCGUAAGGUGAUGUAUAUGGGCUGACACCUGCCCGGUGCUGGAAGGUCAAAAGGAGAGGUUAGCGUAAGCGAAGCUUUGAAUUCAAGCCCCAGUAAACGGCGGCCGUAACUAUAACGGUCCUAAGGUAGCGAAAUUCCUUGUC